This 468-nucleotide ribosomal RNA is filed under the name uncultured bacterium. RNAcentral describes it as "partial 16S ribosomal RNA". It matches the Rfam family "Bacterial small subunit ribosomal RNA", at positions 28 to 507 of the family's 1533-position model. The record is from RNAcentral.
GACGAACGCUGGCGGCGUGCUUAACACAUGCAAGUCGAACGGAAAGGCCCUGCUUUUGUGGGGUGCUCGAGUGGCGAACGGGUGAGUAACACGUGAGUAACCUGCCCUUGACCUUGGGAUAACUUCAGGAAACUGGGGCUAAUACCGGAUAGGAGCUCCUGCUGCAUGGUGGGGGUUGGAAAGUUUCGGCGGUUGGGGAUGGACUCGCGGCUUAUCAGCUUGUUGGUGGGGUAGUGGCUUACCAAGGCUUUGACGGGUAGCCGGCCUGAGAGGGUGACCGGCCACAUUGGGACUGAGAUACGGCCCAGACUCCUACGGGAGGCAGCAGUGGGGAAUAUUGCACAAUGGGCGGAAGCCUGAUGCAGCAACGCCGCGUGCGGGAUGACGGCCUUCGGGUUGUAAACCGCUUUCGCCUGUGACGAAGCGUGAGUGACGGUAAUGGGUAAAGAAGCACCGGCUAACUACGUA